GUAGCUACGUUCGGAACUGAUAAGCGCUGAAAGCAUCUAAGCGCGAAGCAGGCCUCGAGAUGAGUUCUCACUAGACUUUUAAAGUCUCUGAAGGGCCGUUGAAGACUACAACGUUGAUAGGCAGGAUGUGGAAGUGGUGUGAGCCAUUAAGCUAACCUGUACUAAUUACCCGUGAGGCUUAACCAUACAACGCCAAACGCGUUU
Molecule: ribosomal RNA, 204 nt
Filed under: Pseudoalteromonas shioyasakiensis
Lineage: Bacteria; Pseudomonadati; Pseudomonadota; Gammaproteobacteria; Alteromonadales; Pseudoalteromonadaceae
Description: partial 23S ribosomal RNA
Rfam family: Bacterial large subunit ribosomal RNA
Source: RNAcentral